CAAGGUUUCCGUAGGUGAACCUGCGGAGGGAUCAUUACAAGUGACCCCGGUCUAACCACCGGGAUGUUCAUAACCCUUUGUUGUCCGACUCUGUUGCCUCCGGGGCGACCCUGCCUUCGGGCGGGGGCUCCGGGUGGACACUUCAAACUCUUGCGUAACUUUGCAGUCUGAGUAAACUUAAUUAAUAAAUUAAAACUUUUAACAACGGAUCUCUUGGUUCUGGCAUCGAUGAAGAACGCAGCGAA
Molecule: unclassified non-coding RNA, 245 nt
Filed under: uncultured fungus
Lineage: Eukaryota; Fungi
Description: partial contains 18S rRNA, ITS1, 5.8S rRNA
Rfam family: 5.8S ribosomal RNA (bases 194-245)
Source: RNAcentral